GCAUAUCAAUAAGCGGAGGAAAAGAAACCAACAGGGGAUUGCCCCCAGUAACGGCGAGUGAAGCGGCAACAGCUCAAAUUUGAAAUCUGGCUCUCGGGCCCGAGUUGUAAUUUGUAGAGGAUGCUUUUGGUGAGGUGCCUUCCGAGUUCCCUGGAACGGGACGCCAUAGAGGGUGAGAGCCCCGUCUGGUUGGACACCGAUCCUCUGUAAAGCUCCUUCGACGAGUCGAGUAGUUUGGGAAUGCUGCUCUAAAUGGGAGGUAUAUGUCUUCUAAAGCUAAAUACCGGCCAGAGACCGAUAGCGCACAAGUAGAGUGAUCGAAAGAUGAAAAGAACUUUGAAAAGAGAGUUAAAAAGUACGUGAAAUUGUUGAAAGGGAAGCGCUUGUGACCAGACUUGGGCUUGGUUGAUCAUCCGGGGUUCUCCCCGGUGCACUCUUCCGGCUCAGGCCAGCAUCAGUUCGCCCUGGGGGAUAAAGGCUUCGGGAAUGUGGCUCUCUCCGGGGAGUGUUAUAGCCCGCUGCGUAAUACCCUGUGGCGGACUGAGGUUCGCGCAUUCGCAAGGAUGCUGGCGUAAUGGUCAUCAGUGACCCGUCUUGAAACACGGACCAAGGAGUCGUCUUCGUAUGCGAGUGUUCGGGUGUCAAACCCCUACGCGAAAUGAAAGUGAACGCAGGUGAGAGCUUCGGCGCAUCAUCGACCGAUCCUGAUGUUAUCGGAUGGAUUUGAGUAAGAGCAUACGGGGCCGGACCCGAAAGAAGGUGAACUAUGCCUGUGUAGGGUGAAGCCAGAGGAAACUCUGGUGGAGGCUCGCAGCGGUUCUGACGUGCAAAUCGAUCGUCAAACAUGGGCAUGGGGGCGAAAGACUAAUCGAACCUUCUAGUAGCUGGUUUCCGCCGAAG
Molecule: ribosomal RNA, 900 nt
Filed under: Fusarium solani
Lineage: Eukaryota; Fungi; Ascomycota; Sordariomycetes; Hypocreales; Nectriaceae
Description: LSU rRNA
Rfam family: Eukaryotic large subunit ribosomal RNA
Source: RNAcentral